GGUCAGGAAGUAGUUUAUUUUCACUGAAACUGAAGGAGGAAGUUAGAAAAACGGCUGCAACUAGAUCAAUUCGGAAAAGCCAGGUUUUCUAAGAGUUUACCUUCUCUGACCUUACACCAGAAUACAGGUCAUAAGCGAGGAGAAGUGAACUUUGAGCGUCUUUGGGGACAGAGAAAUGUGUGUGUGGAGGAUCAAACUUUAUGAAGAAGACACUCCAUGAAGCAUCAGACAGAUAUUUGAGAACAUGGAAAGUAUCACUGUGGGGAUUAAACUGGAUGAAAAAUAAAGCAAC
Long non-coding RNA from Eubalaena glacialis (North Atlantic right whale), 292 nucleotides. RefSeq lists it as uncharacterized. The record is from RefSeq and is a predicted model, not a curated record. The transcript is spliced from 4 exons. NCBI's taxonomy places the organism in Eukaryota, Metazoa, Chordata, Mammalia, Artiodactyla, Balaenidae.